CAGCAGCCGCGGGAAUACGAAGGGGGCUAGCGUUGUUCGGAUUUACUGGGCGUAAAGGGUGCGUAGGCGGAUUGUUAAGUCAGGGGUGAAAUCCCGAGGCUCAACCUCGGAACUGCCUUUGAUACUGGCGAUCUUGAGUCCGGGAGAGGUGAGUGGAACUGCGAGUGUAGAGGUGAAAUUCGUAGAUAUUCGGAAGAACACCAGUGGCGAAGGCGACUGACUGGACAAGUAUUGACGCUGAGGUGCGAAAGCGUGGGGAGCAAACAGGAUUAGAGACCCCCGUAGUCCCUGUCUCUUAUAC
Molecule: ribosomal RNA, 301 nt
Filed under: uncultured bacterium
Lineage: Bacteria
Description: partial 16S ribosomal RNA
Rfam family: Bacterial small subunit ribosomal RNA
Source: RNAcentral